UACGUAGGGUGCAAGCGUUAAUCGGAAUUACUGGGCGUAAAGCGUGCGCAGGCGGCUUUGCAAGACAGAUGUGAAAUCCCCGGGCUUAACCUGGGAACUGCAUUUGUGACUGCAUGGCUAGAGUGCGGCAGAGGGGGAUGGAAUUCCGAGUGUAGAGGUGAAAUGCUUAGAUAUCGUAAGGAAGACCAGUGGCGAAGGCGAAUCUCUGGACAGUUACUGACACUGAGGCACGAAGGCCAGGGGAGCAAACGGG
Molecule: ribosomal RNA, 253 nt
Filed under: uncultured bacterium
Lineage: Bacteria
Description: partial 16S ribosomal RNA
Rfam family: Bacterial small subunit ribosomal RNA
Source: RNAcentral